UACGUAGGGACCAAGCGUUGUUCGGAUUUACUGGGCGUAAAGGGCGCGUAGGCGGCGAAUCAAGUCAGCUGUGAAAUCUCCGAGCUUAACUCGGAACGGUCAGCUGAUACUGUUUUGCUAGAGUGCAGAAAGGGCAACCGGAAUUCUUGGUGUAGCGGUGAAAUGCGUAGAUAUCGAGAGGAACACCUGCGGCGAAGGCGGGUUGCUGGGCUGACACUGACGCUGAGGCGCGAAAGCCAGGGGAGCGAACGGG
Molecule: ribosomal RNA, 253 nt
Filed under: uncultured bacterium
Lineage: Bacteria
Description: partial 16S ribosomal RNA
Rfam family: Bacterial small subunit ribosomal RNA
Source: RNAcentral